This 70-nucleotide transfer RNA is filed under the name Ixodes scapularis (black-legged tick). It matches the Rfam family "tRNA". Rfam says of the family: Transfer RNA (tRNA) molecules are approximately 80 nucleotides in length. Their secondary structure includes four short double-helical elements and three loops (D, anti-codon, and T loops). The record is from Rfam by way of RNAcentral. Lineage: Eukaryota; Metazoa; Arthropoda; Arachnida; Ixodida; Ixodidae.
GCAGUCGUGGCCGAGUGGUUAAGUCGAUGGACUAGAAAUCCAUUGGUUCCCGCACAUUCUGUCGACUGCG